RNAcentral lists this ribosomal RNA (494 nucleotides) under uncultured bacterium. Its description in RNAcentral is "partial 16S ribosomal RNA". It matches the Rfam family "Bacterial small subunit ribosomal RNA", at positions 28 to 507 of the family's 1533-position model. The record is from RNAcentral.
GACGAACGCUGGCGGCGUGCUUAACACAUGCAAGUCGAACGGUGAAGCGCCUUCCUUUUUGGUGGGUGUGGAUGAGUGGCGAACGGGUGAGUAACACGUGAGUAACCUGCCCCCUUCUUCUGGAUAACCGCAUGAAAGUGUGGCUAAUACGGGAUAUUCUGGGUCUGUCGCAUGAUGGGUCUGGGAAAGAUAUUGUUUCGGUGGGGGAUGGGCUCGCGGCCUAUCAGCUUGUUGGUGGGGUGAUGGCCUACCAAGGCGGUGACGGGUAGCCGGCCUGAGAGGGUGGACGGUCACACUGGGACUGAGACACGGCCCAGACUCCGACGGGAGGCAGCAGUGGGGAAUAUUGCACAAUGGGCGCAAGCCUGAUGCAGCGACGCCGCGUGAGGGAUGGAGGCCUUCGGGUUGUGAACCUCUUUCGCCGGUGAAGCAGGCCUGCCUCGUUUGUGGGUGGGUUGACGGUAGCUGGAUAAGAAGCGCCGGCUAACUACGUG